UACGGAGGGUGCAAGCGUUAAUCGGAAUUACUGGGCGUAAGGCGCACGCAGGUGGCUGAGCGAGUCGAUUGUGAAAGCCCUGGGCUUAACCUGGGAAUUGCAGUCGAUACUACUCAGCUAGAGUUUGGCAGAGGAGACUGGAAUUCCUGGUGUAGCAGUGAAAUGCGUAGAUAUCAGGAGGAAUACCGAUGGCGAAGGCAGGUCUCUGGGCUAUAACUGACGCUCAUGCACGAAAGCGUGGGGAGCAAACAGG
Molecule: ribosomal RNA, 253 nt
Filed under: uncultured bacterium
Lineage: Bacteria
Description: partial 16S ribosomal RNA
Rfam family: Bacterial small subunit ribosomal RNA
Source: RNAcentral